GACGAACGCCGGCGGCGUGCUUAACACAUGCAAGUCGAACGGAAAGGCCCUGCUUUUGUGGGGUGCUCGAGUGGCGAACGGGUGAGUAACACGUGAGUAACCUGCCCUUGACUUUGGGAUAACUUCAGGAAACUGGGGCUAAUACCGGAUAGGAGCUCCUGCUGCAUGGUGGGGGUUGGAAAGUUUCGGCGGUUGGGGAUGGACUCGCGGCUUAUCAGCUUGUUGGUGGGGUAGUGGCUUACCAAGGCUUUGACGGGUAGCCGGCCUGAGAGGGUGACCGGCCACAUUGGGACUGAGAUACGGACCAGUCUCCUACGGGAGGCAGCAGUGGGGAAUAUUGCACAAUGGGCGGAAGCCUGAUGCAGCAACGCCGCGUGCGGGAUGACGGCCUUCGGGUUGUAAACCGCUUUCGCCUGUGACGAAGCGUGAGUGACGGUAAUGGGUAAAGAAGCACCGGCUAACUACGUG
Molecule: ribosomal RNA, 468 nt
Filed under: uncultured bacterium
Lineage: Bacteria
Description: partial 16S ribosomal RNA
Rfam family: Bacterial small subunit ribosomal RNA
Source: RNAcentral